UACGGAGGAUGCAAGCGUUAUCCGGAAUGAUUGGGCGUAAAGCGUCCGCAGGUGGCUGUGUAAGUCUGCUGUUAAAGAGUGAGGCUCAACCUCAUAAAGGCAGUGGAAACUACAUGGCUAGAGUGCGUUCGGGGCAGAGGGAAUUCCUGGUGUAGCGGUGAAAUGCGUAGAGAUCAGGAAGAACACCCGUGGCGCAAGCGGCCACCUGGCAGAGACCUGACGCUGAGGCACGAAAGCGUGGGGAGCGAACCGG
RNAcentral lists this ribosomal RNA (253 nucleotides) under uncultured bacterium. RNAcentral's name for it is "partial 16S ribosomal RNA". It matches the Rfam family "Bacterial small subunit ribosomal RNA", at positions 524 to 776 of the family's 1533-position model. The record is from RNAcentral.